Molecule: ribosomal RNA, 439 nt
Filed under: uncultured bacterium
Lineage: Bacteria
Description: bacterial SSU rRNA
Rfam family: Bacterial small subunit ribosomal RNA
Source: RNAcentral
ACGAACGCUGGCGGCAUGCUUAACACAUGCAAGUCGAACGGAGAGCAGUUUACUGUUCUUAGUGGCAAACGGGUGAGUAACGCGUGGGAAUCUACCUCUUGGUGGGGAAUAACUAAGGGAAACUUUAGCUAAUACCGCAUGUGUUUGGAAACAAAUAAAGAUUUAUCGCCAAGAGAUGAGCCCGCGUCAGAUUAGGUAGUUGGUGGGGUAAAGGCCUACCAAGCCUUUGAUCUGUAGCUGGUCUGAGAGGAUGGUCAGCCACACUGGGAUUGAGAUACGGCCCAGACUCCUACGGGAGGCAGCAGUGAGGAAUAUUGGACAAUGGGGGAAACCCUGAUCCAGCAAUGCCGCGUGAAUGAAGAAGGCUUUAGGGUUGUAAAGUUCUUUCACUCGCGAAGAUAAUGACGGUAGCGAGGUAAGAAGCCCCGGCUAACUCUGU